Dipodomys ordii (Ord's kangaroo rat) is the source of this 72-nucleotide non-coding RNA. NCBI's taxonomy places the organism in Eukaryota, Metazoa, Chordata, Mammalia, Rodentia, Heteromyidae. The record is from Rfam.
GUGAAAGUGGCUCAGUGGUAGAGUGCUUGCCUUGCACGCAUGAGACCCUGGGUUCGAUUCCUCAGCACCACA